Perognathus longimembris pacificus (Pacific pocket mouse) is the source of this 573-nucleotide long non-coding RNA. RefSeq lists it as uncharacterized. NCBI's taxonomy places the organism in Eukaryota, Metazoa, Chordata, Mammalia, Rodentia, Heteromyidae. The transcript has 3 exons. The record is from RefSeq and is a predicted model, not a curated record.
AAAUAACUUUGAGUGGAAAAAAAAGAAAUCUGGGCUGGUGAUUAGAAUUCAGGUAGGAAUUCAAGGGUGGUUGGAGAGUCAGGUUAGGAAAGAGUAAAGAAAUCUAUUUCAAGCCUGGUUAUAUCAUUGGCAGUGUCAGGAACAAGAAAGAACAUUAUUUUUAGAUAAAAGGCCUACUUUUAUCUUGGCAGUCCAUCUAUUUUUAUACCUACAUCUCGUUUUUUUCUUUUUUCUUCUUCUAAUACUAGAAAUGACAUGUCUAUCAAGUUUUGGAGCUAAUAUAUUUUAAAGUAAUUAUUCUCUGAUUAGAUCAUGUAGAUUUCAAAUAUGCUAAAGACUGAGGAAAAUUGCCCUUGUGUCUUUGAAAUGUCCCAUUGGGAAUUGAAGCUCUACUUACCGUAAGGUGCUAAACAGACAAGAGAGCAAACAUAUGUGUUCUGAAUCCUCUCUCUGUUACCACUGACAACUUCCAGGUCUCCCUGCUGGAUUUGCUAGACAAAGUAGUUUCAGUUUUAAUAUAUAUUACAAAAAGUUAAAAAGAGUUUGUGAUCUGUCUGUUAAUCUGUUUGAAAG